This is a long non-coding RNA of Schistocerca americana (American grasshopper), 843 nucleotides long. RefSeq lists it as uncharacterized. Lineage: Eukaryota; Metazoa; Arthropoda; Insecta; Orthoptera; Acrididae. The transcript has 5 exons. The record is from RefSeq and is a predicted model, not a curated record.
UGUACAGCAUUUAGUAACAGGACCUUCCUUCUCUUGUUACCAGCAGGUUCAUCUGAUUGUGUGAUUGUGAACAUUUACUCCCGCAUUGACUGUUUUUCUAGAUGAAAAAGAGAGAUCACAUGCAUGAUAUCCAACAACAACUGCCGCAGAACAAACUAGACUUUGUUUCUUUUGGUUGAUCUGAUUGCGUGGUUGUGAACAUUUACCCCCACAUUGACUGUGUUUCUUGGUGCGCAUGAGAGAUCACCUGCACCAUAUCUAACUAAGAGAGCCACAGAGCAAACUGCACCUCGCUUCUUCUGUAGGUUCUUCUAAUUGCAAGGUUGUGAACAUUGUUCUCCCGUCAACUGUGUUUCUUGCUGGAUAUGAGACAUGGCCUGCACCAUAGUUAACUACGCAAGGUUCAACAGAUUGCGCAGUUGAGAACCUUAGCUCUCCCAUCAACUGUAUUUUUGCUGGAAAUGAGACAUCACCUUCAUCAUAGUUAACUGUGGGAGAUGGAGAACUUAAGAGAUCUUCUAUCUUUUGGUUUAUCAGAUCGUGUGGUUGCGAACAUUUACUCUCCCAUUGACUGCAUUUCUUGCUGCGAAUGAGACAUCACCUUCACCAUUAUUGACUACGAGAGGUGCAUAACUUGAUAUAUCUCCUUUCUUUUGGUAUACAUCUCCCCCUUUUUUAUAAUUUUUAAUGAUUUGAUUCUGCAGAUGCAUGUGUGAAUAACCUAUCUGAUACCCCAAAUGUAUCAAAAGGUUUUACCUCCUAUUGUCCCCUGCCAUGUUCAUUAGAUUAUGUGGUUGGUUAUAAUAGAAGGAAACAUUCCACGUAGGAAAGAUAUACCUAAAA